GGAGGAUCUCAUGUAUCCGAGUGGAAACACUUACAUUAAUUGUAAUACAACAUCAGUUGGAAAUUGGGACACAGACACAAAGAGAAAACAAUGUCAUGUGAAGACAGAGGCAAAGAGUGGAGUGACAGAUGUACAAGCGAAGAACCUCAAGAGCGCCGGCAGUUACCAGAAGCUUAGAGUUAGGGAAGGAUCAUCAUCUGAAGCAAGUCCUGGCCUGUCAACAUGUUGAUUUCAGACUACUAGACUCCAGAAAAGUAAGAUAAAAAAUCUUUAAUAUUUGAAGGUGCCCAAUUUGUGGUAAUUUGUUCCUGCAGCCUGAGCAAACUAACAAGCUCACUUUCAGUUCAAUUUCAUGGAAGAAUAGAACAAUCUUUUGGUCCCAUAACACAACUCCUCAGUGGAGAACUCUGAGUGAU
This 416-nucleotide long non-coding RNA is filed under the name Homo sapiens (human). RNAcentral describes it as "non-protein coding lnc-TDRD3-3:4". Lineage: Eukaryota; Metazoa; Chordata; Mammalia; Primates; Hominidae. The record is from RNAcentral.